GUAGGGGAGCGUUCUGUAAGCCUGUGAAGGUGUGUCGUGAGGCAUGCUGGAGGUAUCAGAAGUGCGAAUGCUGACAUAAGUAACGAUAAAGCGGGUGAAAAGCCCGCUCGCCGGAAGACCAAGGGUUCCUGUCCAACGUUAAUCGGGGCAGGGUGAGUCGACCCCUAAGGCGAGGCCGAAAGGCGUAGUCGAUGGGAAACGGGUUAAUAUUCCCGUACUUGGUGUUACUGCGAAGGGGGGACGGAGAAGGCUAUGUUGGCCGGGCGACGGUUGUCCCGGUUUAAGCGUGUAGGUGUGUGUUCCAGGUAAAUCCGGUUCACUUUAACACUGAGGCGUGACGACGAGGCACUACGGUGCUGAAGCAACAAAUGCCCUGCUUCCAGGAAAAGCCUCUAAGCAUCAGGUAACAUCAAAUCGUACCCCAAACCGACACAGGUGGUCAGGUAGAGAAUACCAAGGCGCUUGAGAGAACUCGGGUGAAGGAACUAGGCAAAAUGGUGCCGUAACUUCGGGAGAAGGCACGCUGACACGUAGGUGAAGUGAUUUACUCAUGGAGCUGAAGUCAGUCGAAGAUACCAGCUGGCUGCAACUGUUUAUUAAAAACACAGCACUGUGCAAACACGAAAGUGGACGUAUACGGUGUGACGCCUGCCCGGUGCCGGAAGGUUAAUUGAUGGGGUCAGCGCAAGCGAAGCUCCUGAUCGAAGCCCCGGUAAACGGCGGCCGUAACUAUAACGGUCCUAAGGUAGCGAAAUUCCUUGUCGGGUAAGUUCCGACCUGCACGAAUGGCGUAAUGAUGGCCAGGCUGUCUCCACCCGAGACUCAGUGAAAUUGAACUCGCUGUGAAGAUGCAGUGUACCCGCGGCAAGACGGAAAGACCCCGUGAACCUUUACUAUAGCUUGACACUGAACAUUGAGCCUUGAUGUGUAGGAUAGGUGGGAGGCUUUGAAGUGUGGACGCCAGUCUGCAUGGAGCCGACCUUGAAAUACCACCCUUUAAUGUUUGAUGUUCUAACGUGGACCCGUAAUCCGGGUUGCGGACAGUGUCUGGUGGGUAGUUUGACUGGGGCGGUCUCCUCCUAAAGAGUAACGGAGGAGCACGAAGGUUGGCUAAUCCUGGUCGGACAUCAGGAGGUUAGUGCAAUGGCAUAAGCCAGCUUGACUGCGAGCGUGACGGCGCGAGCAGGUGCGAAAGCAGGUCAUAGUGAUCCGGUGGUUCUGAAUGGAAGGGCCAUCGCUCAACGGAUAAAAGGUACUCCGGGGAUAACAGGCUGAUACCGCCCAAGAGUUCAUAUCGACGGCGGUGUUUGGCACCUCGAUGUCGGCUCAUCACAUCCUGGGGCUGAAGUAGGUCCCAAGGGUAUGGCUGUUCGCCAUUUAAAGUGGUACGCGAGCUGGGUUUAGAACGUCGUGAGACAGUUCGGUCCCUAUCUGCCGUGGGCGCUGGAGAACUGAGGGGGGCUGCUCCUAGUACGAGAGGACCGGAGUGGACGCAUCACUGGUGUUCGGGUUGUCAUGCCAAUGGCACUGCCCGGUAGCUAAAUGCGGAAGAGAUAAGUGCUGAAAGCAUCUAAGCACGAAACUUGCCCCGA
This 1592-nucleotide ribosomal RNA is filed under the name Salmonella enterica. Its description in RNAcentral is "partial 23S ribosomal RNA". It matches the Rfam family "Bacterial large subunit ribosomal RNA", at positions 1228 to 2802 of the family's 2925-position model. Lineage: Bacteria; Pseudomonadati; Pseudomonadota; Gammaproteobacteria; Enterobacterales; Enterobacteriaceae. The record is from RNAcentral.